Small nuclear RNA from Ochotona curzoniae (black-lipped pika), 104 nucleotides. The record is from RefSeq and is a predicted model, not a curated record. Lineage: Eukaryota; Metazoa; Chordata; Mammalia; Lagomorpha; Ochotonidae.
CUGCUCGCUUCGGCAGCACAUAUACUAAAAUCGGAAUGACACAGAGAAGAUUAGCACGGCCCCUGCGCAAAGAACUUAGUUUUACAGUGAGAAACAAGUGUUUU